Molecule: long non-coding RNA, 309 nt
Organism: Eleginops maclovinus (Patagonian blennie)
Lineage: Eukaryota; Metazoa; Chordata; Actinopteri; Perciformes; Eleginopidae
Exons: 3
Source: RefSeq, a predicted model, not a curated record
CGCCAGCUGCCAUUAUGUGGACUCUCCAAUGUGACUCUACUAUGAGGAGGAUAACAAACACCUUUACGAAUGUACUGGGCAAAGAAACCAUAUAGCACGUCCACAACAACGCAUCAUUAUAAAGCAAAGAUAUGCAUCAGAAGAGUCUUUUGGAAGAGUCGCCAAUGUCCAAAAAUCCCAAAAGAUGCACAGGAAGGAUCCAUUGACAGCUGGCUUUGGAUGCAAGCAGCAGCAUGACUGAAGCUGAGAUGCAUCUGAAUCAAACAGACAGGGACAGCCUCUGUCAACUUAUGUGUCGAAAUAAAAGCA